CAUUAUGCCUAGUGGAGAUGGAUAUGAUCGGGUGGUUCCGCUGGUGGCACGAUGAUACUCCAGUGAUCCGUCAGUGAUCCAAAUUUGCCGUUAAAAAAAAAGAAUGAAAGCAUUAACAAACAUAAUUUAAUUAUGUUUUGUUGGAUGAACAGAAUCUAAGAAAUUCUGAUAGUAAUGCUUCGCCAUGAUCGUUAAUAGAACAUACUAUAAGUUGCACGGGCAUUGAUUAAGGCGUUGAUGGCCGGUACAGUUUCAGAAGGGGAUUAUCCAAGUUAGUGAAUCCUUACCAAAUUAUAAACACUAAUAUACAAUUCAAUUGUAUUUCUAUUAUAUCAGUAAGUGUUUUUACUGAUAUAUAUAAUGUUAUAGUAUAUAAAGAAUUUUUUUCAAAAUUUUUUUAAUUAAAAACUUGCGAAUCAAGGAUUUGGUGCUACAGUGUGAUGUCCUUCAUGAUGCUAGUGUAUCAGCUUCAUGAUAUUCUGAUGAUGUAGAUGUGAUAUUGGUGUUCAAAAGUGUUACUUGACCAAUUAAACUGAUUGUUAUUAGGGUACGUUGAGGUUUUUUAGACCUUUAAAAAUAAAAUAAAAAAACUGAUUAAACAGAUUUUAACUGUUAUUUGGGUUGGGUAUCAAAAACAAUAUCAUGCAUAAAAAAGCCUACACCUGAAUGUAGUUAUGGGACGGUUCAUCUAGCUGAGUAGCAUAGUUUGAAAUUGCCCUAUUGAUUACUGCUUGAUAAGGUCAUUCGCGUGUUGUAGUGGGUGUUAAACAACUAUAGUUACUUGUCACAUUGUAUUUUUUUUAUACCCGUUAAUAAAUACUAUUGUAGAAUAAGUAGUUCAUAUUAUCAUCAAUCAUCAUUAUUAGAGUAUAUUAUUUAGGGUUUUAGGACCGAGCUCACGGGCCGAUUUAUCUCUAUAUAUUGUAAUACUAUUGAAUGGAAUACAAUCAAUUCAGUCUUUUACCAUCUUACAAUCAUCAUCAAAAUGUUACCUCUAUUUAGAUAUCAAACAGUGUAUGCAUGCGCGUUAAUGUGGGUUUGAAAGCAGGGGUAUUUGAUUUGGUGUUAUUUUUCUACAAGAAUUGACUAAGAAUUAUUCAUUUCUUUCAUAUUAACAAGGUGUUGCAACCCUCUAUUCGAGAUGAUUAAACUUGUAAAGUGUUGAUUGAAGAGCAAGGCAUGUAGCUUUAUGGAUCCAAACUACUACAAAUACGGGUUUGACAUACUUUUUCAGUUUUGUCCCUACUUUGAUUCUUUCGUAAUAUUUUUUUUAUGUAGUUGUAAACGUUGUUAAUAGUGAAUUAUCUUUGACUCUAAAAAGUCAAAUGUGUGAUUCAAGGUACUUUUUUUUAAUCUAUGUAUAUGCAUGUACUGAUGUACACAUGAAACUAAACGAAAAUGAGAUGAUAAAGUCUGA
RNAcentral lists this long non-coding RNA (1417 nucleotides) under Helianthus annuus (common sunflower). RNAcentral's name for it is "hypothetical non coding rna". The record is from RNAcentral. Lineage: Eukaryota; Viridiplantae; Streptophyta; Magnoliopsida; Asterales; Asteraceae.